CUAAGCUGUCAGGACCCUGUCAGCUCCAGGCUUGGGGCAGCCGUGUCUGCCCCAACAGGGUUGGAAAACUGGAAUCCGAGUGACCAAGAGCUCCAGCCGCCGGCCUUGAGCACUGGAGGGAAGGGGCACAGAGAGGAGGUUAUGCUUGCUCUGCGUGCAGGAAAGGGGAAAAUGGAAAAGCCAUCUUAGACCAUCCUCUGCAAUGCCCUCUGUGUUUUGUCCACCUCUGGCCGCAGAGCCAGCUAACAGGCCCCGUCCAAACAACUGGCUGCGAUAUUGGGGACUUCUUCUAACGCCUGGGAUCUAGAGAGGCAGAAGCAUUUCAACAGUUACACUGCACACUGGCAGGAGGAUUGCAGGCUCAAUGCGUAGAGCUAGUGAUUUUGCCAACUUCCUGGAUGUUCACUGCUGGUUCUGCACCGAAGAGCGACAUUUCCUCUCGGAUCGGGACCGGACACGGCCGGCACAGACCCUGGGAAACUGUGAGUACUCCGAGCUCCUUCUCCCGCGUCUCCCUGACCCGGCGCGUCCCUCCCGGCCUGUCCCGCCCGGCCUGUCCCGCCUGCCUGCGGUCUCUGUAUCCAGCAGUCAGCUUUCCCCGGGCGGGCGCCUCGCCUGCACUCGCUGUCAGCCCUCAGGACCGUUCUCCACGUUUAGGAAAAGAGACUCUACAGUUUCUACACAAACAACGUGUAGGAAGGGGAGGGGGAGUGUGCUUACCGAUCGCAGUGACUUCGGUUUUCGCUUUAAGGCUCGGAAAGACGGAGAAAGUAAACAGAA
Phyllostomus hastatus (greater spear-nosed bat) is the source of this 780-nucleotide long non-coding RNA. RefSeq lists it as uncharacterized. The transcript is spliced from 4 exons. The record is from RefSeq and is a predicted model, not a curated record. NCBI's taxonomy places the organism in Eukaryota, Metazoa, Chordata, Mammalia, Chiroptera, Phyllostomidae.